This 427-nucleotide ribosomal RNA is filed under the name uncultured bacterium. Its description in RNAcentral is "partial 16S ribosomal RNA". It matches the Rfam family "Bacterial small subunit ribosomal RNA", at positions 355 to 774 of the family's 1533-position model. The record is from RNAcentral.
UGGGGAAUAUUGCACAAUGGGCGCAAGCCUGAUGCAGCCAUGCCGCGUGUAUGAAGAAGGCCUUCGGGUUGUAAAGUACUUUCAGCGGGGAGGAAGGUGUUGAGGUUAAUAACCUCAGCAAUUGACGUUACCCGCAGAAGAAGCACCGGCUAACUCCGUGCCAGCAGCCGCGGUAAUACGGAGGGUGCAAGCGUUAAUCGGAAUUACUGGGCGUAAAGCGCACGCAGGCGGUCUGUCAAGUCGGAUGUGAAAUCCCCGGGCUCAACCUGGGAACUGCAUUCGAAACUGGCAGGCUAGAGUCUUGUAGAGGGGGGUAGAAUUCCAGGUGUAGCGGUGAAAUGCGUAGAGAUCUGGAGGAAUACCGGUGGCGAAGGCGGCCCCCUGGACAAAGACUGACGCUCAGGUGCGAAAGCGUGGGGAUCAAACA